Molecule: long non-coding RNA, 249 nt
Organism: Pimephales promelas (fathead minnow)
Lineage: Eukaryota; Metazoa; Chordata; Actinopteri; Cypriniformes; Leuciscidae
Source: RefSeq, a predicted model, not a curated record
GAGCGCGCGCGUGUGCUCCUCCUCCUCCUUCGCGAGGCUCCAGCUCUAGCUCUAGCUCUGCCACGUAAUCUCGGUCGAGCCCCCGCUCACUCACUCACUCGAAACCUCCGGGAACCGUGACAGCGACUGCGGAACACUCAAACACACUGUACGAAACACCUCCGGGCGGUGCGCGCGGGUGUAGCGGAAUCACACACUGUGGCGGAGGGCAUCUGUUUGGUUUUCAUCUGGGAUCGCCGGUAACCCGCU